RNAcentral lists this non-coding RNA (29 nucleotides) under Rattus norvegicus (Norway rat). The record is from RNAcentral. Lineage: Eukaryota; Metazoa; Chordata; Mammalia; Rodentia; Muridae.
UAAUAUAAUGACUGUGGAUCUCAAGAACA